RNAcentral lists this ribosomal RNA (507 nucleotides) under uncultured bacterium. RNAcentral describes it as "bacterial SSU rRNA". It matches the Rfam family "Bacterial small subunit ribosomal RNA", at positions 15 to 518 of the family's 1533-position model. The record is from RNAcentral.
GAUCCUGGCUCAGAUUGAACGCUGGCGGCAUGCCUUACACAUGCAAGUCGAACGGUAACGCGGGGCAACCUGGCGACGAGUGGCGAACGGGGUGAGUAAUAUAUCGGAACGUGCCCAGUAGUGGGGGAUAGCCCGGCGAAAGCCGGAUUAAUACCGCAUGAGACCUGAGGGUGAAAGCGGGGGAUCGCAAGACCUCGCGCUAUUGGAGCGGCCGAUAUCAGAUUAGGUAGUUGGUGGGGUAAAGGCCUACCAAGCCGACGAUCUGUAGCUGGUCUGAGAGGACGACCAGCCACACUGGGACUGAGACACGGCCCAGACUCCUACGGGAGGCAGCAGUGGGGAAUUUUGGACAAUGGGCGCAAGCCUGAUCCAGCCAUGCCGCGUGCGGGAAGAAGGCCUUCGGGUUGUAAACCGCUUUUGUCAGGGAAGAAAUCUUCUGGGUUAAUACCUCGGGAGGAUGACGGUACCUGAAGAAUAAGCACCGGCUAACUACGUGCCAGCAGCCGC